GAAGAAAAAUUUUACUGAAAGUUAGGUUUGGUUAGAUUAGAGUGGAUGUCCUGGGGUGGGACACACUUGGA
Long non-coding RNA from Chrysoperla carnea, 71 nucleotides. RefSeq lists it as uncharacterized. The transcript is spliced from 3 exons. The record is from RefSeq and is a predicted model, not a curated record. Lineage: Eukaryota; Metazoa; Arthropoda; Insecta; Neuroptera; Chrysopidae.